CACGCCGUAAACGAUGGAUACUAGCUGUUCGGAGCAAUCUGAGUGGCUAAGCGAAAGUGAUAAGUAUCCCACCUGGGGAGUACGCACGCAAGUGUGAAACUCAAAGGAAUUGACGGGGGCCCGCACAAGCGGUGGAGCAUGUGGUUUAAUUCGAUGAUACGCGAGGAACCUUACCAAGGCUUAAAUGUAGAUUGACAGGUUUGGAAACAGACUUUUCUUCGGACAAUUUACAAGGUGC
This 238-nucleotide ribosomal RNA is filed under the name uncultured bacterium. Its description in RNAcentral is "partial 16S ribosomal RNA". It matches the Rfam family "Bacterial small subunit ribosomal RNA", at positions 796 to 1041 of the family's 1533-position model. The record is from RNAcentral.